This 918-nucleotide ribosomal RNA is filed under the name uncultured Bacteroidota bacterium. Its description in RNAcentral is "bacterial SSU rRNA". It matches the Rfam family "Bacterial small subunit ribosomal RNA", at positions 28 to 944 of the family's 1533-position model. Lineage: Bacteria; Pseudomonadati; Bacteroidota. The record is from RNAcentral.
GAUGAACGCUAGCGACAGGCCUAACACAUGCAAGUCGAGGGGCAGCGCGGGGAGUAAUCUCUGGCGGCGACCGGCGCACGGGUGAGUAACACGUAUGCAACCUGCCUUCAACUGUGGGAUAACCCGAAGAAAUUCGGGCUAAUACCGCAUAAUACGAUUGUAUCGCAUGAUACGAUUGUUAAAGAUUUAUUGGUUGAAGAUGGGCAUGCGUCUGAUUAGAUUGUUGGUGAGGUAACGGCUCACCAAGUCAUCGAUCAGUCGGGGUUCUGAGAGGAAGGUCCCCCACACUGGUACUGAGACACGGACCAGACUCCUACGGGAGGCAGCAGUGAGGAAUAUUGGUCAAUGGACGAGAGUCUGAACCAGCCAAGUCGCGUGAAGGAAGACGGCGCUAUGCGUUGUAAACUUCUUUUGUAGAGGAAUAAAAAGGGGUACGUGUACCCUGUUGUAUGUACUUUACGAAUAAGCAUCGGCUAACUCCGUGCCAGCAGCCGCGGUAAUACGGAGGAUGCGAGCGUUAUCCGGAUUUAUUGGGUUUAAAGGGUGCGUAGGCGGGAUAUCCAGUCAGCGGUGAAGUUUUACGGCUCAACCGUGAGCGUGCCGUUGAAACUGAUAUUCUUGAGUACAGACGAGGCAGGCGGAAUGUGUAGUGUAGCGGUGAAAUGCAUAGAUAUUACACAGAACACCGAUUGCGAAGGCAGCUUGCUGGUAUGUCACUGACGCUGAUGCACGAAGGUGUGGGGAUCAAACAGGAUUAGAUACCCUGGUAGUCCACACAGUAAACGAUGAUUACUAGUUGUAUGCGAUACACAGUAUGCGACCCAGCGAAAGCGUUAAGUAAUCCACCUGGGGAGUACGCCGGCAACGGUGAAACUCAAAGGAAUUGACGGGGGCCCGCACAAGCGGAGGAACAUGUGG